This 398-nucleotide ribosomal RNA is filed under the name uncultured bacterium. RNAcentral describes it as "partial 16S ribosomal RNA". It matches the Rfam family "Bacterial small subunit ribosomal RNA", at positions 338 to 734 of the family's 1533-position model. The record is from RNAcentral.
CCUACGGGUGGCAGCAGUGAGGAAUAUUGGUCAAUGGCCGGAAGCCUGAACCAGCCAAGUAGCGUGAAGGAUGACAGCGCUAAGCAUUGUAAACUUCUUUUGUCAAGGAAUAAAGUGAGGCACGAGAGCCUGUUUGUGGGUACUUUAUGAAAAAGCAUCGGCUAACUCCGUGCCAGCAGCCGCGGUAAUACGGAGGAUGCGAGCGUUAUCCGGAUUUAUUGGGUUUAAAGGGAGCGUAGGCGGUUGUUUAAGUCAGCGGUAAAAUCUUGGGGCUCAACCCAAGCGUGCCGUUGAAACUGGGUGUCUUGAGAAGUCGCGAGGUAGGCGGAAUGCGUGGUGUAGCGGUGAAAUGCUUAGAUAUCGCGAAGAACUCCGAUUGCGAAGGCAGCAUACCGGAG